AACCUGCCCAAUGAGUGAUUAAAUGGCCGCGGUAUAUUGACCGUGCAAAGGUAGCAUAAUCAUUAGUUUUUUAAUUGGAAGCUUGUAUGAAGGGUUAAAUGAGAAAGUUUCUGUCUCUUGAAAAGUUUAAUUGAAUUUUAUUUUUAAGUUAAAAAGCUUAAAUGAUUAUAGAAGACGAGAAGACCCUAUAGAGUUUUAUAUUUAUUAAUAUAAAUAGAUUAAGUUUAAAGAUUAUUAUUUAUUUUGAUAAUUAUUUUGUUGGGGUGAUUUAAAAACUAAAUUAACUUUUUUAUAUUUAAAACAUUUAUUUAUGAAUUUUUGAUCCUUAAGUUUAGAUUAGAAGAUUAAAUUACCUUAGGGAUAACAGCGUAAUUUUUUUAAGAGUUCUUAUCGAAAAAAAAGUUUGCGACCUCGAUGUUGGAUUAAAAUUAAUUAUUGGUGUAGAAGCUACAUGAUUAGGUCUGUUCGACCUUUAAAAUUUUACAUGAUCUGAGUUUAGACCGGUGUGAG
RNAcentral lists this ribosomal RNA (510 nucleotides) under Trigonopterus sp. 252 AR-2022a. RNAcentral describes it as "partial large subunit ribosomal RNA". It matches the Rfam family "Archaeal large subunit ribosomal RNA", at positions 1948 to 2694 of the family's 2987-position model. Lineage: Eukaryota; Metazoa; Arthropoda; Insecta; Coleoptera; Curculionidae. The record is from RNAcentral.